CCUACGGGCGGCUGCAGUGGGGAAUAUUGGACAAUGGGGGCAACCCUGAUCCAGCCAUGCCGCGUGUGUGAAGAAGGCCCUCGGGUUGUAAAGCACUUUCAGUGAGGAAGAACGCCUGGUGGUUAAUACCCAUCAGGAAAGACAUCACUCACAGAAGAAGCACCGGCUAACUCCGUGCCAGCAGCCGCGGUAAUACGGAGGGUGCGAGCGUUAAUCGGAAUUACUGGGCGUAAAGCGCGCGUAGGUGGCUUGAUAAGCCGGUUGUGAAAGCCCCGGGCUCAACCUGGGAACGGCAUCCGGAACUGUCAAGCUAGAGUGCAGGAGAGGAAGGUAGAAUUCCCGGUGUAGCGGUGAAAUGCGUAGAGAUCGGGAGGAAUACCAGUGGCGAAGGCGGCCUUCUGGACUGACACUGACACUGAGGUGCGAAAGCGUGGGUAGCAAACAGGAUUAGAUACCCGGGUAGUC
This 465-nucleotide ribosomal RNA is filed under the name Vreelandella stevensii. RNAcentral's name for it is "partial 16S ribosomal RNA". It matches the Rfam family "Bacterial small subunit ribosomal RNA", at positions 338 to 795 of the family's 1533-position model. The record is from RNAcentral. Lineage: Bacteria; Pseudomonadati; Pseudomonadota; Gammaproteobacteria; Oceanospirillales; Halomonadaceae.